CCUACGGGAGGCAGCAGUGAGGAAUAUUGGUCAAUGGGCUUACGCCUGAACCAGCCAAGUCGCGUGAGGGAAGACUGCCCUAUGGGUUGUAAACCUCUUUUGUCAGGGAGCAACGCCGGCUACGUGUAGCCGGACUGAGAGUACCUGAAGAAAAAGCAUCGGCUAACUCCGUGCCAGCAGCCGCGGUAAUACGGAGGAUGCGAGCGUUAUCCGGAUUUAUUGGGUUUAAAGGGUGCGUAGGCGGACUGGAAAGUCAGCGGUAAAAUCGAGAGGCUCAACCUCUUUCCGCCGUUGAAACUGUCGGUCUUGAGUGAGCGAGAAGUAUGCGGAAUGCGUGGUGUAGCGGUGAAAUGCAUAGAUAUCACGCAGAACUCCGAUUGCGAAGGCAGCAUACCGGCGCCCGACUGACGCUGAGGCACGAAAGCGUGGGUAUCGAACAGGAUUAGAUACCCCAGUAGUC
RNAcentral lists this ribosomal RNA (460 nucleotides) under uncultured bacterium. Its description in RNAcentral is "partial 16S ribosomal RNA". It matches the Rfam family "Bacterial small subunit ribosomal RNA", at positions 338 to 795 of the family's 1533-position model. The record is from RNAcentral.